AUGAACGCUGGCGGCGUGCCUAAUACAUGCAAGUCGAGCGAACGGACGAGAAGCUUGCUUCUCUGAUGUUAGCGGCGGACGGGUGAGUAACACGUGGAUAACCUACCUAUAAGACUGGGAUAACUUCGGGAAACCGGAGCUAAUACCGGAUAAUAUUUUGAACCGCAUGGUUCAAAAGUGAAAGACGGUCUUGCUGUCACUUAUAGAUGGAUCCGCGCUGCAUUAGCUAGUUGGUAAGGUAACGGCUUACCAAGGCAACGAUGCAUAGCCGACCUGAGAGGGUGAUCGGCCACACGGGAACUGAGACACGGUCCAGACUCCUACGGGAGGCAGCAGUAGGGAAUCUUCCGCAAUGGGCGAAAGCCUGACGGAGCAACGCCGCGUGAGUGAUGAAGGUCUUCGGAUCGUAAAACUCUGUUAUUAGUGAAGAACAUAUGUGUAAGUAACUGUGCACAUCUUGACGGUACCUAAUCAGAAAGCCACGGCUAACUACGUG
Molecule: ribosomal RNA, 496 nt
Filed under: uncultured bacterium
Lineage: Bacteria
Description: partial 16S ribosomal RNA
Rfam family: Bacterial small subunit ribosomal RNA
Source: RNAcentral